This 253-nucleotide ribosomal RNA is filed under the name uncultured bacterium. RNAcentral's name for it is "partial 16S ribosomal RNA". It matches the Rfam family "Bacterial small subunit ribosomal RNA", at positions 524 to 776 of the family's 1533-position model. The record is from RNAcentral.
UACGGGGGGGGCAAGCGUUGUUCGGAAUUACUGGGCGUAAAGGGCUCGUAGGCGGCCAACUAAGUCAUACGUGAAAUCCCUCGGCUUAACCGGGGAACUGCGUCUGAUACUGGCAAGCUUGAGUGCAGGAGAGGAACGCGGAAUUCCAGGUGUAGCGGUGAAAUGCGUAGAUAUCUGGAGGAACACCGGUGGCGAAGGCGGCGUUCUGGACUGCAACUGACACUGAGAGACGAAAGCCAGGGGAGCAAACGGG